This 470-nucleotide ribosomal RNA is filed under the name uncultured bacterium. Its description in RNAcentral is "partial 16S ribosomal RNA". It matches the Rfam family "Bacterial small subunit ribosomal RNA", at positions 355 to 815 of the family's 1533-position model. The record is from RNAcentral.
UGGGGAAUAUUGCACAAUGGGCGCAAGCCUGAUGCAGCCAUGCCGCGUGUGUGAAGAAGGCCUUCGGGUUGUAAAGCACUUUCAGCGAGGAGGAAGGUGGUGAACUUAAUACGUUCAUCAAUUGACGUUACUCGCAGAAGAAGCACCGGCUAACUCCGUGCCAGCAGCCGCGGUAAUACGGAGGGUGCAAGCGUUAAUCGGAAUUACUGGGCGUAAAGCGCACGCAGGCGGUUUGUUAAGUCAGAUGUGAAAUCCCCGGGCUCAACCUGGGAACUGCAUUUGAAACUGGCAAGCUAGAGUCUCGUAGAGGGGGGUAGAAUUCCAGGUGUAGCGGUGAAAUGCGUAGAGAUCUGGAGGAAUACCGGUGGCGAAGGCGGCCCCCUGGACGAAGACUGACGCUCAGGUGCGAAAGGCGUGGGGCAGCAAACAGGAUUAGAUACCCUGGUAGUCCACGCUGUAAACGAUGUCGA